UCGCGGAUCCUAACCGGGUCAAAACAAAAAAACGGGUCAAUCCAAUUUCACUCUCCCAUUCACGCUCUCUCUCUUUCUCUUUCUCUCUCUCUGCGCGACGGAAACCCUAAUCUCUCGUUCUCUGGAGAGCGUCCUUCAUCUCACAACAAUCAAUCAGGCAAAUUCAAAAAUUGGACCUUAUAGGAGAAAAAUUGUGAUAGAGAAUAGGGAAGAUAUAUAUACUCUUUUCUCUCAAGAUCGUGCUGACGGGCAAGGUGCAAAAACACAUCAAGCAGGAUGAUCAAAACAUGAUGAAUAUGGUGCAGAUUAUGGACUGGGGGCAGUUAAGUAUGAAUGCAUUCAUACAUACUUUCAUGGAGCAGUCAAUAUUUGUAAGUUAAAGAUAAAGAGGAAUCAAGUUGGGCUUCUCAAUGUCUAAGGCUAAGAUGGACAUUUUGUGGAUAUGUUUAACACAUACUUACACACCAUUAGCAAUUUGUAAUUUUCUGUUUAUUUUCCAACUAUUCUCCAACUAAGAAGAAAAAACAAAGUUGGAAGUUUUAUCAAACAUGUGUGAAUGCUUUGUAUGUAGUUUACUCCACAUAUUCUGGUUUAAUUAUAGAAGUUUCAGUUUGUUUGCUGGUCAA
This is a long non-coding RNA of Salvia hispanica, 626 nucleotides long. RefSeq lists it as uncharacterized. The record is from RefSeq and is a predicted model, not a curated record. Lineage: Eukaryota; Viridiplantae; Streptophyta; Magnoliopsida; Lamiales; Lamiaceae.